CCAAUCUCACCUCAGACUCCGCAGACAGCAGCCCACGCUGGGAGGACAUCUCUCCGAUACAGUUCACACUGAGGCAGAGACGGGCCUGAAGUCAGGAGGCUGCACCAGGGCUGGGGAAGCUGCUCACGCCAUGUGGGUGUGGAGGAGCAGGAGGGGAGCCUUGGACAUUACUCACAGACACUGUAAGCAAACUGAAUUGGAACAACCAGGCACUCAGCGACACCUGGGAGAGCCAGCCCCUGCCAGAGAAGACGGACGGAGACCGUGGUAGGCUGGGCAGCAGCCAGUUCAGUCCGGCGUGAGCGGGAGCAGAAUUCUCCAAGCGGACUGGCAGCGGACCACCUGCAACUUGUCAGCAAUGUGGAGCCUCAGGGCCCGCCCCAGCCUCCUGAAUCAGAAGCCCAGGAGGCGGCCCCCCGGGGGUCUGAACUCACCCUCCAGGGGGUUCUGACGGGUACUGGGGUGGGGCGGCCUCGGCCUGGGUGAUUUGGGGAGGGGCAGCUGGACGUGUGUGUGACUCUGAAGAAGUGUUAAUGAUUUCAUGUCUUUGUCUUCCUCAUAGUAUUUGCAUUCUAUAUGUGAGGAGUGAGGGAAAAAGGAGUCACCAAUGGUGAGGCCCAGGCAUUCUGGUGCUAGUUUCUGGGAGGCUGUUUGCAGGAAGAGUUUUCUCGAAUCUCCCACACAGAUGGCCACCUAGCCUGAC
Molecule: long non-coding RNA, 703 nt
Filed under: Homo sapiens (human)
Lineage: Eukaryota; Metazoa; Chordata; Mammalia; Primates; Hominidae
Description: non-protein coding lnc-CA5A-3:1
Source: RNAcentral